UAGUCCACGCCCUAAACGAUGUAUGCUAGACGUCGGGAGACUUGUCUUUCGGUGUCGCCGCUAACGCAUUAAGCAUACCGCCUGGGGAGUACGGUCGCAAGAUUAAAACUCAAAGGAAUUGACGGGGCCCACACAAGCGGUGGACUAUGGGGUUUAAUUCGUCAAUAAGCGAGUAACCUUACCAGGACUUGACAUCCUUAUCGUACCUUUCAGAAAUGAUUGGGUCAGUUCGGCUGGAUAAGUGACAGGCGUUGCAUGGUUGUCGUCAGCUCGUGCUUUGAGGUGUUCGGUUAAGUCCGUUAACGAGCGCAACCCUCGUCGUGUGUUGUAUUUUCACGUCGAGACUGCCGGCCAUAAGCCGGAGGAAGGUGAGGACGACGUCAAAUCAGCAUGACCCUUAUGUCCUGGGGCUACACCCGUGGUACAAUGGGCAAGUACAAACCGAAGCAAUACAGCGAUGUGGAGCAAAAUCGGACAAAACUUGUCUCAGUUCGGAUCGGAGUCUGCAACCCGACUCCGUGAAGGUGGAA
This 530-nucleotide ribosomal RNA is filed under the name uncultured bacterium. RNAcentral describes it as "bacterial SSU rRNA". It matches the Rfam family "Bacterial small subunit ribosomal RNA", at positions 791 to 1331 of the family's 1533-position model. The record is from RNAcentral.